RNAcentral lists this ribosomal RNA (478 nucleotides) under uncultured bacterium. RNAcentral describes it as "partial 16S ribosomal RNA". It matches the Rfam family "Bacterial small subunit ribosomal RNA", at positions 28 to 523 of the family's 1533-position model. The record is from RNAcentral.
GACGAACGCUGGCGGCGUGCUUGACACAUGCAAGUCGAACGGUAAGGCCCUUCGGGGUACACGAGUGGCGAACGGGUGAGUAACACGUGGGUGAUCUGCCCUGCACUUCGGGAUAAGCCUGGGAAACUGGGUCUAAUACCGGAUAGGACUCCUGGCUUCAUGGUUGGGGGUGGAAAGCUUUUGCGGUGUGGGAUGGGCCCGCGGCCUAUCAGCUUGUUGGUGGGGUAAUGGCCUACCAAGGCGACGACGGGUAGCCGGCCUGAGAGGGUGACCGGGCACACUGGGACUGAGCUACGGCCCAGACUCCUACGGGAGGCAGCAGUGGGGAAUAUUGCACAAUGGGCGCAAGCCUGAUGCAGCGACGCCGCGUGAGGGAUGACGGCCUUCGGGUUGUAAACCUCUUUCAGCUAUGACGAAGCGCAAGUGACGGUAGUAGCAGAAGAAGGACCGGCCAACUACGUGCCAGCAGCAGCCGCGG